UACGUAGGCAGCGAGCGUUGUUCGGAGUUACUGGGCGUAAAGCGUGCGUAGGCGGUUUUGUACGUUUGGUGUGAAAUCUCCCGGCUCAACUGGGAGGGUGCGCCGAAAACUGCAAGGCUGGAGUGUGGGAGAGGUAGGCGGAAUUCCUGGUGUAGCGGUGAAAUGCGUAGAUAUCAGGAGGAACACCUGUGGUGUAGACGGCUUACUGGACCAUGACUGACGCUGAGGCACGAAAGCGUGGGGAGCAAACAGG
This 253-nucleotide ribosomal RNA is filed under the name uncultured bacterium. RNAcentral's name for it is "partial 16S ribosomal RNA". It matches the Rfam family "Bacterial small subunit ribosomal RNA", at positions 524 to 776 of the family's 1533-position model. The record is from RNAcentral.